Molecule: transfer RNA, 66 nt
Filed under: Pronodularia japanensis
Lineage: Eukaryota; Metazoa; Mollusca; Bivalvia; Unionida; Unionidae
Description: tRNA-Asp
Source: RNAcentral
AAGGAAGCGCAAAACUCAAGCCUUUUGGGGUUGACAACCCCAUGUUUUUCUAUAAACUAACUUCCC